GAUUAUGGCUCAGGAUGAACGCUAGCGGCAGGCUUAACACAUGCAAGUCGAGGGGCAUCGGGAGUAGCAAUACUUGCCGGCGACCGGCGCAAGGGUGCGUAACGCGUGAGCAACAUGCCCGUAUCAGGGGGAUAAUCCAUGGAAACGUGGUCUAAUACCCCAUAGUAAUUAUGUAAGGCAUCUUAUAUAAUUUAAAGCUUUGGUGGAUACGGAUUGGCUCGCGUGACAUUAGCUGGAUGGUAAGGUAACGGCUUACCAUGGCUACGAUGUCUAGGGGUUCUGAGAGGAAGGUCCCCCACACUGGAACUGAGACACGGUCCAGACUCCUACGGGAGGCAGCAGUGAGGAAUAUUGGACAAUGGAUGGAAAUCUGAUCCAGCCAUGCCGCGUGCAGGAAGACGGCCCUAUGGGUUGUAAACUGCUUUUGUAUGGGAGCAAUAAGGGCUACGUGUAGUCCGAUGAGAGUACCAUACGAAUAAGCACCGGCUAACUCCGUGCCAGCCGCCGC
RNAcentral lists this ribosomal RNA (508 nucleotides) under uncultured bacterium. RNAcentral's name for it is "bacterial SSU rRNA". It matches the Rfam family "Bacterial small subunit ribosomal RNA", at positions 15 to 518 of the family's 1533-position model. The record is from RNAcentral.